GUGAACUUGGUGCCAGAAGCUGCGGUAAUACGAAGGAUCCAAGCGUUAUGCGGAUUUAGUGGGUUUAAAGGGUGCGUAGGCGGCUUAUUAAGUCAGAGGUGAAAGCCUGGGGCUUAACUCCAGAACUGCCUUUGAUACUGAUGAGCUUGAAUAUAGUUGAGGUAGGCGGAAUGUGUCAUGUAGCGGUGAAAUGCUUAGAUAUGACACAGAACACCGAUUGCGAAGGCAGCUUGCUAAACUAUAAUUGACGAUGAGGCACUAAAGCGUGGGGAUCAAACAGGAUUAGAUACCCGGGUAGUC
RNAcentral lists this ribosomal RNA (300 nucleotides) under uncultured Bradyrhizobium sp. RNAcentral's name for it is "bacterial SSU rRNA". It matches the Rfam family "Bacterial small subunit ribosomal RNA", at positions 496 to 795 of the family's 1533-position model. Lineage: Bacteria; Pseudomonadati; Pseudomonadota; Alphaproteobacteria; Hyphomicrobiales; Nitrobacteraceae. The record is from RNAcentral.